This 206-nucleotide long non-coding RNA is filed under the name Malus domestica (apple). RNAcentral describes it as "long non-coding RNA (MDOM_LNC018967)". Lineage: Eukaryota; Viridiplantae; Streptophyta; Magnoliopsida; Rosales; Rosaceae. The record is from RNAcentral.
ACAAUAAAGAUGUGAUUAGAGGAUCCCCUCUCUUAAUGUUUAAUCAACAAUUCUGGCAUGCACGGUGAGCAUAGAUUGGUCUCUCUCAAUCUUGUUUUGCCUCCAUAUUUGCUCCUUGUCCUCAUCAACAUGUAUAAUAUAAGAGUAAUGCUAAGUAAACUAAAUUUAUAGAUUAAAUUUGCAAACUAAAUGAUGUGUCACCAAUA